RNAcentral lists this long non-coding RNA (442 nucleotides) under Homo sapiens (human). RNAcentral's name for it is "non-protein coding LINC02384:35". Lineage: Eukaryota; Metazoa; Chordata; Mammalia; Primates; Hominidae. The record is from RNAcentral.
CAUGGUUCUGGUGCUCUGCCUGCAGGUCAAGAAGGAGCCAGUAUCUCCAGGAGGAGUGAGAGAGUGCUCUGCCAGUGUGAAGUGUGAAUCCUUGAGAGGCUGUGGCAAGGGUCCAUGCCUGAAUGUGUAGAACAAGAACAGCUGGAGGCUGUGGCUUUCUCCAGGAAGAGGUUUCUAAAUCUGCCUCUUAGAAGAUAUCAGAAAGUUAAAGUUUCUCUUGCUGCCGCCGUGUAAGAAGGACCUUUUGCCUCCCACCAUGAUUCUAAGUCCUCCCCAGCCACGUGGAACUGCUUUCAUUUGGUCUCUUUUCGAAUCAGAAGACCCAGAAAACUUGGAUCCACUUCUGGCUCUCAUCCCUCUGGGCAGUGUGAUUUGGAAAUUGCCAAGACAUACAGUAUUUUUCCUGCCUUUCCAAUACCUAUUCAGGAGCAAAAACCAUGAU